AGUUUUUCCCACAAAACAGAAAAUACUCUUUUAUAAGUAUGACAUCUAUGUUUGUGUUGAGGUGGUUAUUAACACUACCCAUGAUACGGGAAAUUCAGGCAGCGGGCAGUUGCACAAAUGAAAUUAAAAAUAGAAAAGCCGAUUGUUGCACCAAUUUCUUCCAUGAUGGAAACAAAUGUACAGAGUGCCCAGCAGGAUAUCAUGGAGAUAAUUGCUCAACCAUCUGUUCCGCCAAUCAUUUUGGUUUAGGUUGUGGCCAUAAAUGCACUUGCUUUCCUUGUCAUCAUAUUCAUGGCUGCAAUAUAACCAAUACCACACCUACUGAAAU
Long non-coding RNA from Magallana angulata, 328 nucleotides. RefSeq lists it as uncharacterized. The transcript has 3 exons. The record is from RefSeq and is a predicted model, not a curated record. NCBI's taxonomy places the organism in Eukaryota, Metazoa, Mollusca, Bivalvia, Ostreida, Ostreidae.